GCGGAGGAAAAGAAACUAACAAGGAUUCCCCUAGUAACGGCGAGUGAAGAGGGAAAAGCCCAAGAUUGAAAGCUGGCGUCUUCGACGUCCGCAUUGUAAUCUCAAGAAGUGUUUUCCGCUUCGGACCAAGCCUAAGUCUCCUGGAAAGGAGCAUCGUAGAGGGUGAAAAUCCCGUACAUGGUUUGGAGCGCCCGAAGCUUUGUGAUACACUUUCUACGAGUCGAGUUGUUUGGGAAUGCAGCUCAAAAUGGGUGGUAAAUGCCAUCUAAGGCUAAAUAUUGGGGAGAGACCGAUAGCGAACAAGUACAGUGAUGGAAAGAUGAAAAGAACUUUGAAAAGAGAGUUAAAAAGUACGUGAAAUUGCCAAAAGGGAAGGGUAGGAGGUCAGAGAUGCGGUCUGGGAUUCAGCCUUGCUUUUGCUUGGUGUAUUUCCCAGUUUGCAGGCCAACGUCGGUUUUGGACACUGGAGAAGGGUAAGAGGAAUGUGGCACUCUUCGGAGUGUGUUAUAGCCUCUUACUGGAUGCAGCGACCGAGACCGAGGAACGCAGCGUACUCGAAAGAGCGGGCCUUCGGGCACCUUACG
Molecule: ribosomal RNA, 584 nt
Filed under: Tranzscheliella williamsii
Lineage: Eukaryota; Fungi; Basidiomycota; Ustilaginomycetes; Ustilaginales; Ustilaginaceae
Description: partial large subunit ribosomal RNA
Rfam family: Eukaryotic large subunit ribosomal RNA
Source: RNAcentral